GAUGAACGCUGGCGGCGUGCCUAAUACAUGCAAGUCGAGCGAACGGACGAGAAGCUUGCUUCUCUGAUGUUAGCGGCGGACGGGUGAGUAACACGUGGAUAACCUACCUAUAAGACUGGGAUAACUUCGGGAAACCGGAGCUAAUACCGGAUAAUAUUUUGAACCGCAUGGUUCAAAGGUGAAAGACGGUCUUGCUGUCACUUAUAGAUGGAUCCGCGCUGCAUUAGCUAGUUGGUAAGGUAACGGCUUACCAAGGCAACGAUGCAUAGCCGACCUGAGAGGGUGAUCGGCCACACGGGAACUGAGACAAGGUCCAGACUCCUAAGGGAGGCAGCAGUAGGGAAUCUUCCGCAAUGGGCGAAAGCCUGACGGAGCAACGCCGCGUGAGUGAUGAAGGUCUUCGGAUCGUAAAACUCUGUUAUUAGGGAAGAACAUAUGUGUAAGUAACUGUGCACAUCUUGACGGUACCUAAUCAGAAAGCCACGGCUAACUACGUG
RNAcentral lists this ribosomal RNA (497 nucleotides) under uncultured bacterium. RNAcentral's name for it is "partial 16S ribosomal RNA". It matches the Rfam family "Bacterial small subunit ribosomal RNA", at positions 28 to 507 of the family's 1533-position model. The record is from RNAcentral.